Molecule: long non-coding RNA, 977 nt
Organism: Mastomys coucha (southern multimammate mouse)
Lineage: Eukaryota; Metazoa; Chordata; Mammalia; Rodentia; Muridae
Exons: 2
Source: RefSeq, a predicted model, not a curated record
UUCAUCUGUCCUCUUCUCUUCAAGGCUAAGGAAGGGAGUCAGGAGCAACAGGACGCUGAGAUCAAGCUGCCUGGCUUUACCACACUUCAAUGCAUUGAAGUCUCAAUUGAAGUGUAGAGAAGGCUCAAGGAGCUGCGUUCAUGGCUCAAUUGGUAGAAUGCUUACCUAGCCUGCGUCCCUUCCUCACCAUGGCACAAAACUGAGUGCAGCUCCUCUAUCCUUCCAGAACACAAGACAUGAAGACAGGAGGAUCAGCAAGGACCCAGGAAGAUUGGCCUGGAAGAUGUGACCCACUCCCAUGUCUGAAGCCAUGCUUGCCAACCUGUGUGAAGAUCUGUGAAGUCCUAGUCUGCCUGGCCUGUGAUGAGUGCAUAUCUUCAGUGACAUGAGCAGCCCCUCCUUGGCCAUGAACCACAAGUGGCCCUACCUUUUGGCUAUGUGUCCACUAGAGCCACCUCCUUCCAUCGGAAAAGCAGUGGGGUCACUGGGUUUACAUUUGGCUAGCUGGUGUUGCAAGAAGGAACUGAGGAGACAGACACAGCUCAGCACCAACUCCACCCUUAUCUUGGGGGACCCCUCUAUUCCAAAUACCCCUGUGCUCGGACAGAGAAUACUGUGUGCUUUUGGUUUAUUGUCUUCAAAGAUUAGCACUCAUUGUCAACUCGAUGACACAAUCUAGACUCACCAGGGAAGAGAGUCUAAAUAAGGGAUUGUCUGUUUAGGUUGGGCUAGGGGCCUGUCUGUUGGGGAUUCUCUAAUUACAUUAGCUGAUAUGUGAAGACCCAGCCCGCUGUGGGCAGCACCAUUCCAUAGUUAGGGGUCUUAGACUGUGUAAGAGUAGAAAAAAUGAAGUUGAAGGCGAGCAAGAAACCAGAUGAACAUGUAGGCACCCAUUUCUCUGCUAGUGACUGGAUGUCACAUGACCAGCUCCUAUCUUUACUUCUCCACAACAAUUAAACUCUAACCUGAAAUUGUAA